Molecule: long non-coding RNA, 235 nt
Filed under: Gossypium barbadense (sea-island cotton)
Lineage: Eukaryota; Viridiplantae; Streptophyta; Magnoliopsida; Malvales; Malvaceae
Description: long non-coding RNA (GBAR_LNC000269)
Source: RNAcentral
GACAACGGAAAUGGGUUAGGGGUGUUACAAGUUUGAUAAAUUAUAUCUUGGGCAUACCAUUUGAGUUUUUUUUUUGUACUAUUGGGAUAAAAAAGCUAACAAACAAAUACAUAAUAAUUACAAAUAAAAUUUAGAAAACAUCACAUUUUUUGACAUAAUAAUCUUCUUUAUACUAGUUAAGUAAAUAAAAAAAACUCUCAGAAAUUUCAACACAACGGGACCAUCUAUUAAGUAC